Molecule: small nucleolar RNA, 124 nt
Filed under: Oryza sativa (Asian cultivated rice)
Lineage: Eukaryota; Viridiplantae; Streptophyta; Magnoliopsida; Poales; Poaceae
Description: SnoRNA Z113
Rfam family: Small nucleolar RNA snoR2/U65
Source: RNAcentral
GGGCCUGAUGCCACGUCACCUGUAGCUACGGCUUUGACCGGUGAUGCUUUGAUUAGGCCAAAACAGAGUUGGUUUCCUACGUUUCACAUGUUGAUAGGAACCUGGGACUGCAUCUCCAUCGGUC